GGACGAACGCUGGCGGCGCGCCUCAUACAUGCAAGUCGAGCGUGAAGCGGGACUUCGGUCCCGUGGAAAGCGGCGAACGGGUGCGUAACACGUGAGCAACCUGCCCCGAAGACUGGGAUAACCCGGGGAAACCCGGGCUAAUACCGGAUGUCCUCCUCCGAUCGCAUGGUUGGAAGUGGAAAUGUUCAGGCGCUUCGGGAUGGGCUCGCGGUCUAUCAGCUUGUUGGUGGGGUGANGGCCUACCAAGGCGACGACGGGUAGCCGGCCUGAGAGGGCGACCGGCCACACUGGGACUGAGACACGGCCCAGACUCCUACGGGAGGCAGCAGUGGGGAAUCUUGCGCAAUGGGCGAAAGCCUGACGCAGCGACGCCGCGUGAGGGA
This 383-nucleotide ribosomal RNA is filed under the name uncultured bacterium. Its description in RNAcentral is "bacterial SSU rRNA". It matches the Rfam family "Bacterial small subunit ribosomal RNA", at positions 27 to 408 of the family's 1533-position model. The record is from RNAcentral.